Molecule: ribosomal RNA, 274 nt
Filed under: uncultured soil bacterium
Lineage: Bacteria
Description: partial 16S ribosomal RNA
Rfam family: Bacterial small subunit ribosomal RNA
Source: RNAcentral
AGAAUCAACGCUGGCGGCGUGCCUAACACAUGCAAGUCGAACGCGAAAGGGGAGCAAUCCCUGAGUAGAGUGGCAAACGGGUGAGUAACACGUGGGUGACCUGCCUUCGAGUGGGGGAUAACGUUCCGAAAGGAACGCUAAUACCGCAUGACAUCCUGCUUUUGGACAAGCGGAGAUCAAAGCUGGGGAUUCGCAAGAACCUAGCGCUUGAAGAGGGGCCCGCGCCUGAUUAGCUAGUUGGUGAGGUAACGGCUCACCAAGGCUACGAUCAGUA